UUGUUGGCUCUCACACUUGGAUUUAAGCGAAAGUCUAGCUUAAGCUGAGCUCACUAGUAGGAUUUAGAUUGAAAAAGCUAUAUAGGGGAUUAGCUCUCAUGUUUAUGCAUUAAUGUGAUAUUUUGAGUACGUGAAUAGCUCCAAAUUAUCUUCUCUUGCGAAUGUUGAGUGAAUUGCUUGUUAUAUGUGUUAGAUGUUCAUUUCAUGGUAAAAUUGUAUUAGUUUUAGGUAGUUGUAGAAAUUAUAUCUGUAAUCAACAUCUAAACUCACUG
This 272-nucleotide unclassified non-coding RNA is filed under the name Hevea brasiliensis (rubber tree). Lineage: Eukaryota; Viridiplantae; Streptophyta; Magnoliopsida; Malpighiales; Euphorbiaceae. The record is from RNAcentral.